Non-coding RNA from Canis lupus familiaris (dog), 2175 nucleotides. NCBI's taxonomy places the organism in Eukaryota, Metazoa, Chordata, Mammalia, Carnivora, Canidae. The record is from the annotation of a RefSeq genome assembly.
UGAAGACAUUACUGUGCAGUAUCACCGGGGCCCUGUGGGAGGAGUCUCGAGUUUUGUGAAUGAUGGGACUGAGGUGUGAUUGGUGCCCCGUGAUUCUAGUGGAACAGAUUGAGUGUAAGAACAGUUUCGCUGGACCCGGAUUCUACACUCUGUAGAGUAGGGGUGAAGGCACCUCAUUGACUAGACAAGGAAUCAUGAAGAGACACUGGGACGCUCUGCUGGGGCUCCUGUGGGUCCAUGUUUGCUUAGUGACAGGGAUGAAGGUGGAGCAGAGCCCUUCAGCCCUGAGCCUGCAGGAGGGAGCCAGCUCUAUCCUCAAGUGCAAUUACUCUAGCGCAGUGAACAGUGUGCAGUGGUUCCGACAGAAUCCCGGGGGCGGAAGCCUCACCAGGCUGUUUUACAUAGCUUCAGGGAUGAAGCAGAGCGGGAGGCUAAACUGCACACUGAAUGCUAAGGAACUGUUCAGCACCCUCCACGUUGCGGCCUCUCAGCUGGAAGACUCAGCCACCUACCUGUGUGCGGUGGAGGCACAGUGCUCCCUGGUGAUCUGCAGCCUGCCCCCAAACUGCCGCUGGGCCUGCAGCACCAGCACUUCCCUGGGGAGGGCAUUUGCCCCCACAGCAGCCUGUGCAGUUUUACAAUUUCAGCUUUCUCUUACAAUACUUUUUUCCUCCUAAUAUUAGGUGCAUCAGUGCUGUUGUUUCACUUACUUUCCUUGCCCUUUUUCUUUCCAGAAAAAUUAUUUGUAGGUAAAAACCUCUAUGAAGGAGCUUGAAGCAAAUGAUAGAGAGGCGCACAUCCAAUGCCCUGAUAAAUAGAUCUCUGGCACUACCCCUAAAGUACCUGUAAAAUAAUAGAAAUAGAACAGGCUUAAAAAAAUGAUACCCAUCAACAGAUAGAAAUACCGAGAUUGUUUCUUAGCCUGUAGGUGGUCCGUGUUCAAGGAAAUGUGAAGAGAAUGUGUACAAUGUUCUUUUAAGUCUUUGUUAGCUUUUUCAGUCUUGGGAAUAGAAAUAGAAUUAUGUAUUUUUAUUGAAGUCCAGGAAUUCUACUUAUCCCACUACAUAUAUUUUCUGUUUCAGUAAUAUAAUCCCUGGUAAAGAAGUAGUUCAUUUUAUACAGGUACAAAGGGAAGAUUUUAGACUGUAAGUGACUUGGUUGAGCUCAUAUUAUUCCUAAGUUAAUAAUCUGAGGUGACAGGAGAGCUUAUCCUCUGAGUACCUGUUAUUGAAUGCCCUAUAGAAGCACAAGUCUAAAUGACUUCUACUGAUCAAUUUAUAUAAUGUGUGGACAUAUAUCACUGACCACGGUAUAUCCUUUUAAGGCAUUUUUAAAGAGCACCUUGUGGAGAAGAGCUUGUGGAGAUUUUCAUUCUGUUCCAUGAAAAUACAUUGCUCUUCCUCACGUUUUGAAUGAAUCUAUUACUCAUGAUUUUGUAACAUCAUUCCCAGGUUGGGAAAGGGAGCAGAAAGCUUCCAAGACUGUGCAGAGGAAUCUCUUCUCUGUUGUAGCCAGAGACAAAGACUUCUGAGACCAAACUCAAAGUUGAACCUAUCAUGUGGUCCAAUUACAGCAGAAAUUGAAUUCCAGCCUGUGCCGGUUUUUAUGUUCAUGCAGAACAUUGGUAGGAAGGACUGGGACCGUGAAAAAUCAGAUGGAGUUAGCUGGACAGACUCGCAGUAGCUGGGAGCAGAGGUAGCUUCUCGAAUAUGUGACCUGACAGUCACAGAGCCCGCAACUCUCCCAAGGACCCCUGCCCUUCAUUGAAUGCUGUGAAAUCCUAAGAAUGUGUUGCAAUUCCUAAUGAUUUUAUCUUCGUACUUGUCUUUAAUGAGUGAGUCCCAGAAGUGGGAGGAAUAGGUGCCUGAGCAGAAGCUAUACAUAGGGCAGCAGGACACAGGCAGGAACACGUGCAGGCUCAGGUUCUGGGUCACAGCAGGCUGUGUGUGAAGUGAGCUGUUGGCAGGACCACCUGCUGUGCCUGUGCCUGCUUUGGACUCUCUGGGGCUUUGGUAUGCAGCAAGGGGUGUAGUAAAGUUUGUUGGGAAAUUACUACAAAGGAAAGUGUAUACAUGGACAUUUCAAUAAAGGUAUUUGGCAGUUUCUUACACAACUAAACACAGUCUUUUUUUUUAAAAAAACAUUUUAUUUAUUUAUUUAUUCAUGAGAGACACA